This is a long non-coding RNA of Salvelinus fontinalis (brook trout), 1416 nucleotides long. RefSeq lists it as uncharacterized. The record is from RefSeq and is a predicted model, not a curated record. Lineage: Eukaryota; Metazoa; Chordata; Actinopteri; Salmoniformes; Salmonidae. The transcript is spliced from 19 exons.
UUAGAGUCAGAGGUGUGGUUAGAGUCAGAGGUGUGGUAGAGUCAGAGGUGUGGUAGAGUCAGAGGUGUGGUAGAGUCAGAGGUGUGGUAGAGUCAGAGGUGUGGUAGGGUCAGAGGUGUGGUAGGGUCAGAGGUGUGGUAGAGUCAGAGGUGUGGUAGAGUCAGAGGUGUGGUAGAGUCAGAGGUGUGGUAGAGUCAGAGGUGUGGUAGGGUCAGAGGUGUGGUAGGGUCAGAGGUGUGGUAGAGUCAGAGUCAGAGGUGUGGUAGAGUCAGAGGUGUGGUAGAGUCAGAGGUGUGGUAGAGUCAGAGGUAUGGUAGGGUCAGAGGUGUGGUAGAGUCAGAGGUGUGGUAGAGUCAGAGGUGUGGUAGAGUCAGAGUCAGAGGUGUGGUAGAGUCAGAGGUGUGGUAGAGUCAGAGGUGUGGUAGAGUCAGAGGUGUGGUAGAGUCAGAGGUGUGGUAGAGUCAGAGGUGUGGUAGGGUCAGAGGUGUGGUAGAGUCAGAGGUGUGGUAGAGUCAGAGGUGUGGUUAGAGUCAGAGGUGUGUUUAGAGUCAGAGGUGUGGUUAGAGUCAGAGGUGUGGUUAGAGUCAGAGGUGUGGUUAGAGUCAGAGGUGUGGUAGAGUCAGAGGUGUGGUAGAGUCAGAGGUGUGGUAGAGUCAGAGGUGUGGUAGAGUCAGAGGUGUGGUAGGGUCAGAGGUGUGGUAGGGUCAGAGGUGUGGUAGAGUCAGAGGUGUGGUAGAGUCAGAGGUGUGGUAGAGUCAGAGGUGUGGUAGAGUCAGAGUCAGAGGUGUGGUAGAGUCAGAGGUGUGGUAGAGUCAGAGGUGUGGUAGAGUCAGAGGUGUGGUAGAGUCAGAGGUGUGGUAGAGUCAGAGGUGUGGUAGGGUCAGAGGUGUGGUAGAGUCAGAGGUGUGGUAGAGUCAGAGGUGUGGUUAGAGUCAGAGGUGUGUUUAGAGUCAGAGGUGUGGUUAGAGUCAGAGGUGUGGUAGGGUCAGAGGUGUGGUAGAGUCAGAGGUGUGGUAGAGUCAGAGGUGUGGUAGAGUCAGAGGUGUGUUUAGAGUCAGAGGUGUGUUUAGAGUCAGAGGUGUGUUUAGAGUCAGAGGUGUGGUUAGAGUCAGAGGUGUGGUAGGGUCAGAGGUGUGGUAGAGUCAGAGGUGUGGUAGAGUCAGAGGUGUGGUAGAGUCAGAGGUGUGGUAGAGUCAGAGGUGUGGUAGGGUCAGAGGUGUGGUAGGGUCAGAGGUGUGGUAGAGUCAGAGUCAGAGGUGUGGUAGAGUCAGAGGUGUGGUAGAGUCAGAGGUGUGGUAGAGUCAGAGGUAUGGUAGGGUCAGAGGUGUGGUAGAGUCAGAGGUGUGGUAGAGUCAGAGGUGUGGUAGAGUCAGAGUCAGAGGUGUGGUAGAGUCAGAGGUGUGGUAGAGUCAGAGG